Long non-coding RNA from Peromyscus maniculatus bairdii (prairie deer mouse), 697 nucleotides. RefSeq lists it as uncharacterized. The record is from RefSeq and is a predicted model, not a curated record. Lineage: Eukaryota; Metazoa; Chordata; Mammalia; Rodentia; Cricetidae.
UCUUGGGACCUUCCGAAGGGGCAGGGCUUCCGUGGCCACCCUUCACUCCUUCACCUCCUUCCAGAAGCCGAAAGACUCCUGGGAUCAGCCAGCUCACCAGUGUGGCCAUGGCCAAAGACACAGCCAGUGUGACCAUGGUUCAGCAGACUGACAAGUGCCGGUCAGGAAGGCUGAGAAGAGGCUACUGUGAUGACAAGAAUUGCUGAGCAAGACUUGAAGAGCAGGUGGAGACCGUUACAGAAAACCACAACCAAUCAAAAUGCACAGUCCCGGAACCCAGUUCCAAUGGCUACAUCUACAAGAUAAGGAAAUAGAGACUCAGAGAAGUAACAAACCCAAGGUCACACAGCUAGGAAGCAUGCGCGCUUGGUCCAAACACACAAAGUCUGGCUUCCGGGUCAGACACUUAGAUAAGUUGCUGAAGACAGGAUGCAGGAAGGCCUGGGAUCUGGAGAGAAGGUGGUAAAGUGAUUGCUUCCAGCGAGUACCAGAUAUGAUGGGCCUCACUAGGACCACUGCAAAAAUGAAGAGGAGGUCUCCUGGCUACAAGCUCUCCAGACAACUUGCAACAGGGAGUGUCAUUUCCCCAAACAGAAUCAACACAGCACUUCACAUAAAACAGCGCUACUUAUGAAAGAAAAAAAAAAAAACCCCAAAACCCAGAGCCUUCUUGUUUUGUACAUUAAUAAAUUAAUAA